GACGAACGCUGGCGGCGUGCCUAACACAUGCAAGUCGAGCGAACUGAUGAGGAUUUUGUUCCUCUGUCGUUAGCCGCGGACGGGUGAGUAACACGUGGAUCAUCUACCUAUAAGACUGGGAUAACUUCGGGACACCGGAGCUAAUACCGGAUAAUAUAUUGAACCGCAUGGUUCAAUCGUGAAAGACGGUUUUGCUGUCACUUAUAGAUGGUUCCCCGCCGGCUUAGCUAGUUGGUAAGGUAACGGCUUACCACGGCGACGAUGCGUUGCCGACCGGAGAGGGGGGUCGGCCGCACGGGAACUUGGAACCGGACCAGGGUCCUACGGGAGGCAGCAGUCGGCAAUGGUGCGCAUUGGGCGAAAGCCUGACGGAGGAGGGCGGCGUGAGUGAUGGAGGUCUUCGGAUCGUGAGACGCUGUUAUUAGUGGAGAACAAAUGUGUAAGUAACUGUGCAGGGCGUGACGGUAACUAGUAAAAAAGCCACGGCUAACUACGUG
This 497-nucleotide ribosomal RNA is filed under the name uncultured bacterium. RNAcentral's name for it is "partial 16S ribosomal RNA". It matches the Rfam family "Bacterial small subunit ribosomal RNA", at positions 28 to 507 of the family's 1533-position model. The record is from RNAcentral.